UCCAACGUAUCUGUGGAGAUGUAUUUCGACAAAAAGAAAAAUGUCUUGUUACUGUGAAGGCUUUAGAUUUGUCAAACAAUAAACUUUCAUUACAAAACUGUGAGAUGUUUAAUGGGCUAACCGAACUGGAAAAUCUCAACUUGGCUGGAAACAGUUUAAAAAAAAUUCCAACAGACUGUUUUAAAAGUUUGACCAAUUUGAAACACCUGUAAGCAUUUACUAUUUUGUAUUCUUAUAGCUUUGUUUUUCUAUCUUAAUUGUUCAAUUUUGGCAAUCUAUUGUUAAACUUGUCGAUCCCAUUGUGGUAUUGGUCCAGUGGCGCACCUAGGGACGUCGACUUGAAAUAUAGAUUGUUUUCAUAGGAAUCUGCUUCUUUUUAUCAGCUGUUAAAUGUUGUCAAAUUUGUGUUGAAUAAAGCUUGUAUUGUUCAUAUUUAAACUAGAAGGCUAUAUUUUUUAUUCAUUAUUUUAGAGAUUUGUCAAACAAUAAACUUUCAUUACAAAACUGUGAGAUGUUUAAUGGGCUAAUCGAACUGGAAAAUCUGUAGAUGUUUUAGAAGUACAUUACAUAAAGCCCCUUAUAGUUAUGGACUUAUUUUGAUUUUCGUUCAAGGAAAACUAUAUGUUGUUAU
This is a long non-coding RNA of Xenia sp. Carnegie-2017, 631 nucleotides long. RefSeq lists it as uncharacterized. The record is from RefSeq and is a predicted model, not a curated record. The transcript is spliced from 3 exons. NCBI's taxonomy places the organism in Eukaryota, Metazoa, Cnidaria, Anthozoa, Malacalcyonacea, Xeniidae.